UUAAUGUCCUAGGUUCCGUAGGUGAACCUGCGGGAAGG
RNAcentral lists this ribosomal RNA (38 nucleotides) under Parmelinella lindmanii. RNAcentral's name for it is "partial 18S ribosomal RNA". Lineage: Eukaryota; Fungi; Ascomycota; Lecanoromycetes; Lecanorales; Parmeliaceae. The record is from RNAcentral.